RNAcentral lists this ribosomal RNA (1315 nucleotides) under Klebsiella pneumoniae. RNAcentral describes it as "bacterial SSU rRNA". It matches the Rfam family "Bacterial small subunit ribosomal RNA", at positions 1 to 1308 of the family's 1533-position model. Lineage: Bacteria; Pseudomonadati; Pseudomonadota; Gammaproteobacteria; Enterobacterales; Enterobacteriaceae. The record is from RNAcentral.
AAAUUGAAGAGUUUGAUCAUGGCUCAGAUUGAACGCUGGCGGCAGGCCUAACACAUGCAAGUCGAGCGGUAGCACAGAGAGCUUGCUCUCGGGUGACGAGCGGCGGACGGGUGAGUAAUGUCUGGGAAACUGCCUGAUGGAGGGGGAUAACUACUGGAAACGGUAGCUAAUACCGCAUAACGUCGCAAGACCAAAGUGGGGGACCUUCGGGCCUCAUGCCAUCAGAUGUGCCCAGAUGGGAUUAGCUAGUAGGUGGGGUAACGGCUCACCUAGGCGACGAUCCCUAGCUGGUCUGAGAGGAUGACCAGCCACACUGGAACUGAGACACGGUCCAGACUCCUACGGGAGGCAGCAGUGGGGAAUAUUGCACAAUGGGCGCAAGCCUGAUGCAGCCAUGCCGCGUGUGUGAAGAAGGCCUUCGGGUUGUAAAGCACUUUCAGCGGGGAGGAAGGCGUUAAGGUUAAUAACCUUGGCGAUUGACGUUACCCGCAGAAGAAGCACCGGCUAACUCCGUGCCAGCAGCCGCGGUAAUACGGAGGGUGCAAGCGUUAAUCGGAAUUACUGGGCGUAAAGCGCACGCAGGCGGUCUGUCAAGUCGGAUGUGAAAUCCCCGGGCUCAACCUGGGAACUGCAUUCGAAACUGGCAGGCUAGAGUCUUGUAGAGGGGGGUAGAAUUCCAGGUGUAGCGGUGAAAUGCGUAGAGAUCUGGAGGAAUACCGGUGGCGAAGGCGGCCCCCUGGACAAAGACUGACGCUCAGGUGCGAAAGCGUGGGGAGCAAACAGGAUUAGAUACCCUGGUAGUCCACGCCGUAAACGAUGUCGAUUUGGAGGUUGUGCCCUUGAGGCGUGGCUUCCGGAGCUAACGCGUUAAAUCGACCGCCUGGGGAGUACGGCCGCAAGGUUAAAACUCAAAUGAAUUGACGGGGGCCCGCACAAGCGGUGGAGCAUGUGGUUUAAUUCGAUGCAACGCGAAGAACCUUACCUGGUCUUGACAUCCACAGAACUUUCCAGAGAUGGAUUGGUGCCUUCGGGAACUGUGAGACAGGUGCUGCAUGGCUGUCGUCAGCUCGUGUUGUGAAAUGUUGGGUUAAGUCCCGCAACGAGCGCAACCCUUAUCCUUUGUUGCCAGCGGUCCGGCCGGGAACUCAAAGGAGACUGCCAGUGAUAAACUGGAGGAAGGUGGGGAUGACGUCAAGUCAUCAUGGCCCUUACGACCAGGGCUACACACGUGCUACAAUGGCAUAUACAAAGAGAAGCGACCUCGCGAGAGCAAGCGGACCUCAUAAAGUAUGUCGUAGUCCGGAUUGGAGUCUGC